GCCGCCUUAGCUCAGCUGGUAGAGCGAUGCCUUCGUAAGGCAGAGGUCCGGAGUUCGAAUCUCCGAGGCGGCU
Molecule: transfer RNA, 73 nt
Filed under: Candidatus Niyogibacteria bacterium CG10_big_fil_rev_8_21_14_0_10_46_36
Lineage: Bacteria; Candidatus Niyogiibacteriota
Description: tRNA-Thr
Rfam family: tRNA
About the family: Transfer RNA (tRNA) molecules are approximately 80 nucleotides in length.
Source: RNAcentral